Molecule: ribosomal RNA, 254 nt
Filed under: uncultured bacterium
Lineage: Bacteria
Description: partial 16S ribosomal RNA
Rfam family: Bacterial small subunit ribosomal RNA
Source: RNAcentral
UACGGGGGGAGCAAGCGUUGUUCGGAUUUACUGGGCGUAAAGGGCGCGUAGGCGGCCACUGCAAGUCGGUUGUGAAAUCUCCGGGCUUAACCCGGAAAGGUCAACCGAUACUGCAGGGCUAGAGUGCAGAAGGGGCAACUGGAAUUCUCGGUGUAGCGGUGAAAUGCGUAGAUAUCGAGAGGAACACCCGUGGCGAAGGCGGCUCUCUGGACCGGAACUGACGCUGAGGCGCGAAAGCGUGGGGAGCAAACAGG